CCCUAAUUUGACUUAAAUUAGUGACUUUAAGUUAUCAGAGGUUAUGAAAUAUACCAUAUGUGCACAUAGGAGACAAAAAUAUUGCUUGCUAGUACCUACGUUUAUGACAUUAAUCUAUCUCUCAAUGAUCUAAUAUAAAAUAAACCAUUUGAAAGCAAUUUCAUUGAAAUACUUUCAGAAAUGUUGAAAUGAAAAUAUUAAUCUUUUGGAAGUGUCAUGUUGGAUUUUUUUUUUUUUUUUUAAAUCUCAGGAAGAUGGGUUAGGGAGUGCCGAGCAUAAAGAAACAGCCAAGAAGAUGCAAAACCAAGAGGUAAAGAUGCCAGCAGGCCUAGCUGGGUUUUCUGUGCUGGCAAGCGAGGUCUAACAUGGAAUAUCCAGAAAUCACACUGCAGUUCCACCAUUCUUGAUGUCCUCCCAGGUGAGCUGCUGGGCUUCGUGCUCGUGCUUCUAAAGCAAGCAAACUUUAAGCUAAUUACGUGCUAGUGUAGUCUCCCUUGCUGAAUUUUG
This 507-nucleotide long non-coding RNA is filed under the name Canis lupus dingo (dingo). Its description in RNAcentral is "lncRNA (ENSCAFG00020026993.1)". The record is from RNAcentral. Lineage: Eukaryota; Metazoa; Chordata; Mammalia; Carnivora; Canidae.